This is a non-coding RNA of Schizosaccharomyces pombe (fission yeast), 310 nucleotides long. NCBI's taxonomy places the organism in Eukaryota, Fungi, Ascomycota, Schizosaccharomycetes, Schizosaccharomycetales, Schizosaccharomycetaceae. The record is from the annotation of a GenBank genome assembly.
GGUCAUUUGAUGAGCCGUAAGAACUUAAAAAUGGAGCAGAAUGGAAGGAGGAGGUAAAAGGGCGUGACGAAUUCCUAUCCAAACGAGAGGAGUUACCGGACGGACGAGGAUGAAGAAAAUCAUAAGAGCCAAUCGCUCUCCUCAAUGGGGAGUUUCCAGAGGUGCCUUCUUCAUACUCAUGAUAAGUUUGUGCUAGACUACUGUCAUCUAACGCCAUUGUACUUGAAUAGCCAUGAUGUGAAUAUGCUUCAUCUUUAUGAGGUUGGGUGGAACAAUGAGCGGAUGAGGUAACCAGGGUUUCGGAAGGGAA